UUUUUUUCCGUCCUACGUCGAGGGUUAACAAUAUUCUCGAUGGCACGAAAGGAAUAUUUCUCUCUUUCGAGAAACGAUCGUAAAAGGAGGGGGAGGGCAAGAAGAGGAAGAGGAAGAGAGAAAAAAAAAAACGUAGGUCCCCCGAGCAGAAAGCAAACGUAAUCUACCGAUGUCUGUCGAAUACAAAGUAGCGUUGAACAUAAUACUUAGAAUGCAAUCUAUCGUGCUACAUACAUAUAAAUCGCUGUGAUCACUGAGUCGUUGAAAUUCGUAACGAUCCUCCUUCUUUCCUCUCUUCUCGUCCUCCUCCUCCUCCUCCUCCUCCUCCUCCUCCAUUUUCCACCGCUUCGUCCUCGUUUCCCCGUCCAUUCCACCUUUUGCCUCCCUCCCUCUUCCCCUACCCCCGAAACUGUAUUCCUGUCACGAAUGUGGAACGAAAUAGAAUUGUUGAAGCAACGAUAAGAUGAAUGGAAAGGGGAGGGAGAGAGAAAAAGAGAAAGAGAAAAAGAGAGAGAGAGAUAAAAAAGGAGGGAUGAAAACGAGGACAGGAAAUUUUGCCGAGAAAAAUUUCUUUAAAAAUAAAAUCUCUCCUCUUUAUGAACGAUAAUGGAACGCCAUGAGGAGGAUUAUCGGCCUCGAGGAGAAAUAUAUUUUUAAUUUCGUUGGAUCGAAUGGAAGAAAAAAAAAAGGAGGUGGAGGAGGAGGAGGAGGAAGAAAACGAGUAUAUCUUUGUUCGGUGGGAAUAUGGAGACCAUUAUAAAAAUUUACAACCGUGCGUGUUUCCGUUUGUAUCUCAAUUUCGUUUCGUUUUUUCCAACACGGUCCAUUUACCGUGCCCAUUCCCGGCAAAUAAAAUACAAAUAAACUACUUGGAAGCUGGAUGGAAAGACAUCUGUGCAAGAAAAUGAAAACAAGCACGAAUUGAAUAACGUUAAAGAAGAGGGAGAGAUGAAGAAGAAGAAGAAGAAGAAGAAAAAG
Long non-coding RNA from Apis dorsata (giant honeybee), 978 nucleotides. RefSeq lists it as uncharacterized. The record is from RefSeq and is a predicted model, not a curated record. NCBI's taxonomy places the organism in Eukaryota, Metazoa, Arthropoda, Insecta, Hymenoptera, Apidae. The transcript has 2 exons.